This 374-nucleotide unclassified non-coding RNA is filed under the name Hevea brasiliensis (rubber tree). Lineage: Eukaryota; Viridiplantae; Streptophyta; Magnoliopsida; Malpighiales; Euphorbiaceae. The record is from RNAcentral.
UACCAAACGAGCUUUAAGGUGAAGAUACAAACGAACAUCUUCUCCACCAGUAGCGUCGUUCAGCCAAAACCGAUGACAGCUGAAGAAACACAGAAUGAACUAGGGUGCCGACACAUGCAAACAGUAGCCAUGGUAGCCUUGAAAUGCCAGAGGUCAACAACAAACGUUACUGCAGGACUGCACCAUCGGAGCACCGAGAGCGACGACGACUUAGACCGUUUGGUUUUCCACUCACAACUUACUUUCACAGCAGCCAAUGAGCGAGAGAACAACAAAAGAUAACUCUGGGCCAACAGCUAAGUCAACAGGGGGCAACAGUUGAUUUCAGCUCCCAAAUCUCUAUUAGGCCAAAGAAACCAGUCACUUGACUAUAC